UCCGUAGGCGGGCGUCUAAGUCAGUGGUGAAAUCUUACAGCUCAACUGUAAAAUUGCCAUUGAUACUGGAUGUCUUGAACUAGUGUGAAGUGGUUAGAAUGUGUAGUGUAGCGGUGAAAUGCAUAGAUAUUACACAGAAUACCAAUUGCGAAGGCAGAUCACUAACACUAUAUUGACGCUGAGGGACGAAAGCGUGGGGAGCGAACAGGAUUAGAUACCCUGGUAGUCC
RNAcentral lists this ribosomal RNA (229 nucleotides) under uncultured bacterium. Its description in RNAcentral is "partial 16S ribosomal RNA". It matches the Rfam family "Bacterial small subunit ribosomal RNA", at positions 568 to 796 of the family's 1533-position model. The record is from RNAcentral.